GAUGAACGCUGGCGGUGUGCCUAAUACAUGCAAGUCGAGCGAACAGACGAGGAGCUUACUCCUCUGACGUUAGCGGCGGACGGGUGAGUAACACGUGGAUAACCUACCUAUAAGACUGGGAUAACUUCGGGAAACCGGAGCUAAUACCGGAUAACAUGUUGAACCGCAUGGUUCAACAGUGAAAGACGGUCUUGCUGUCACUUAUAGAUGGAUCCGCGUCGCAUUAGCUAGUUGGUAAGGUAACGGCUUACCAAGGCAACGAUGCGUAGCCGACCUGAGAGGGUGAUCGGCCACACUGGAACUGAGACACGGUCCAGACUCCUACGGGAGGCAGCAGUAGGGAAUCUUCCGCAAUGGGCGAAAGCCUGACGGAGCAACGCCGCGUGAGUGAAGAAGGUCUUCGGAUCGUAAAACUCUGUUAUUAGGGAAGAACAAAUGUGUAGGUAACUAUGCACGUCUUGACGGUACCUAAUCAGAAAGCCACGGCUAACUACGUG
Molecule: ribosomal RNA, 497 nt
Filed under: uncultured bacterium
Lineage: Bacteria
Description: partial 16S ribosomal RNA
Rfam family: Bacterial small subunit ribosomal RNA
Source: RNAcentral